AGAGUUUCAGUGAAACAAAAGGCCAUUCUAUUCCUAUUACCCUGGCAGGGAAAAAGAUAGUGAGAGAAGAGCUAAUAGAGUUCAGAGCAACCUCCAGAGACUGAAGGGAACUCAUCGGCAAAGAGCCAAUUCCGUCUCAUAUAAACCCUCAGAUUGCUUUGCAAACCCAACCGGGCAAUUCAAUUUCAUUUGAUCUCUCCAGUCAGAUUUGCCUUAUUCCCAUUACUUUAUGCUUUUAAUUUGAAUGCUCUGAAUGUAUGAGGUAUUAUGGGU
This 273-nucleotide long non-coding RNA is filed under the name Lathyrus oleraceus (garden pea). RNAcentral's name for it is "Pisum sativum (pea) long non-coding RNA (PSAT_LNC034547)". Lineage: Eukaryota; Viridiplantae; Streptophyta; Magnoliopsida; Fabales; Fabaceae. The record is from RNAcentral.